GCGUAAGCGCACGCAGGCGGUCUGUCAAGUCGGAUGUGAAAUCCCCGGGCUCAACCUGGGAACUGCAUUCGAAACUGGCAGGCUAGAGUCUUGUAGAGGGGGGUAGAAUUCCAGGUGUAGCGGUGAAAUGCGUAGAGAUCUGGAGGAAUACCGGUGGCGAAGGCGGCCCCCUGGACAAAGACUGACGCUCAGGUGCGAAAGCGUGGGGAGCAAACAGGAUUAGAUACCCUGGUAGUCCACGCCGUAAACGAUGUCGACUUGGAGGUUGUGCCCUUGAGGCGUGGCUUCCGGAGCUAACGCGUUAAGUCGACCGCCUGGGGAGUACGGCCGCAAGGUUAAAACUCAAAUGAAUUGACGGGGGCCCGCACAAGCGGUGGAGCAUGUGGUUUAAUUCGAUGCAACGCGAAGAACCUUACCUACUCUUGACAUCCAGAGAACUUUCCAGAGAUGGAUUGGUGCCUUCGGGAACUCUGAGACAGGUGCUGCAUGGCUGUCGUCAGCUCGUGUUGUGAAAUGUUGGGUUAAGUCCCGCAACGAGCGCAACCCUUAUCCUUUGUUGCCAGCGGUUAGGCCGGGAACUCAAAGGAGACUGCCAGUGAUAAACUGGAGGAAGGUGGGGAUGACGUCAAGUCAUCAUGGCCC
Molecule: ribosomal RNA, 642 nt
Filed under: Enterobacter hormaechei
Lineage: Bacteria; Pseudomonadati; Pseudomonadota; Gammaproteobacteria; Enterobacterales; Enterobacteriaceae
Description: bacterial SSU rRNA
Rfam family: Bacterial small subunit ribosomal RNA
Source: RNAcentral